This 1012-nucleotide long non-coding RNA is filed under the name Gossypium barbadense (sea-island cotton). RNAcentral describes it as "long non-coding RNA (GBAR_LNC016374)". Lineage: Eukaryota; Viridiplantae; Streptophyta; Magnoliopsida; Malvales; Malvaceae. The record is from RNAcentral.
UGUAAUAUUUUAAUCUGUUACUGGGAGUGCGACGGAAAUCACACAUCUCCCAUUAAACAGGUCACUGUCACAUAAUUGAAAAAUGUUUUUUAAUUUUUUUUUUACUUUAUUUUCUUUCUUAUUCCUUUUUUUUCUUCUCUCUUCUCUCUCUACUUUUUCUCUUUCUUUUCUCUUGUCUCUCUUCUCCUCCCUCCACAACCCUAGCCAUGGCUAUCGAACUUGCACCGAAGCUCCAAUCAGAGGCCACCAAAUUGAAGUUCCCUUUCUCCUCUAUCAUUUUCUUGAUUUGGUGCUUUCGAAAAUAUCUCAAAAAUCCCCAUAUCGACACCAAAGCUUUAAACUAUUUCAGCUCUGAUCUCCCUUGUUGACCAUCAAAUCAUCUUUGAUUUGUGAUAUGUGCAUCCUCUCGCAGUCAACCAACUUUUGACCGUUAGGAUUGAAAUUACAUUGAAUUGGUCAAACUCGAAAUGGGUUGUACUUCCUUUUAUUUUUCCUUUUUGUUUUCUCUCUUUUUCUUUUUGAUUUUCAUCCGUGAUUUAAUUUGUUUGGAGAUUUUUUAGGCUUGAAGCUUUGUUGUUUAUGCAUGACCCACACACACACACACUUUCUCUCUCUCUCUCGAUAUACAUGUAUUUGGCUUUGUUGACUUUGGUAUUGCAGAGUUUUUUGGGGGUUUGAUUAAUUGUGUGGCUUAGGUUUGGUGGGGAGGCCUAGAUUGAAUGAGAGGUUGUGAGGUUUGGUUUAAAUCAAGUGACGAAAGUCACAUCAAUGUUUAAUGGACCACGUGUAAUUUCCGUCCCAUUCUAAUGUCAAACAUAAUAAGUGUUUUGUAACAAAUUAAAAUGUAAAAUUGAUUUUUGUAGUUUAGCUUAAGCAGAUUAAUACAUCUAUAAAUAAAAGCCAAUAAUUGAAUUCUUAUCAUUUAAUUUGAAAAUGAAAAUAGAAAGAAAGAAAAGGAAUACAUAUGAGAGUAUUUUCUCUAAACCUAUUUAGCCACUCAUUAACGUUUUAC